RNAcentral lists this ribosomal RNA (3331 nucleotides) under Musa schizocarpa. RNAcentral describes it as "eukaryotic LSU rRNA". It matches the Rfam family "Eukaryotic large subunit ribosomal RNA". Lineage: Eukaryota; Viridiplantae; Streptophyta; Magnoliopsida; Zingiberales; Musaceae. The record is from RNAcentral.
GGGCUACCCAUUGAGUUUAAGCAUAUAAAUAAGCGGAGGAGAAGAAACUUACAAGGAUUCCCUUAGUAACGGCGAAGCUGAACCGGGAUCAGCCCAGCUUGAGAAUCCAAGGGCCGCGCCGCCUGAAUUGUAGUAUGGAGAAGCUGCCCUCAGCGAACGGACCAGGCCCAAGUCCCCGGAAAGGGGCGCCGGGAGGGGAGAGAGCCCCGUCCCGCUCGGACCCCGUCGCACCACGAGGGCGCUGUCCGACGAGUCGGGUUGUUUGGGAAUGCAGCCCCAAUCGGGCGGUAAAUUCGGCCCAAGGCUAAAUAUGGGCGAGAGACCGAAGGGGCUUAACAAGUACCGCGAGGGAAAGAUGAAAAGGACUUUGAAAAGAGAGUCAAAGAGUGCUUGAAAUUGCCGGAGGGAAGCGGAUGGGGCCGGGCGAUGCACCUGGUCGGAUGCGAACGGCGGUUAGCCGGUCCCCGCCGCUCGGGGUGCGGAUCGACGCGGGCUGCAUCGACGGCCGGGCCCGGACGGAUCAUUCGUCAAGGGGAUACCGCCGAUGCGGUCGAGGAAAUGACGCUACGCUUAUCGGCGCGUUUCUGGGUACACGCGACUCCAGGCAUCGGCCAGUGGGUUCUAUCCCACCCGCCUUUGAAACACGGACCAAGGAGUCCGACAUGCGGCGAAGUCGACGGGUGCGGAAACCCGAAGGCACAAGGAAGUUAACGGCGGGAACCCUUCGAGGGGUUGUAACACGGGCCGUCAAUUCUCGAUCUUCUGUGGAAGGGUUCGAGUUGGAGCAUGCAUGUCGGGACCCAAAGAUGGUGAACUAUGUUUGAGCGAGGCGAAGCCGAGAGGAAACUUUGGUGGAGGCCCGUUUAUACCGACGCAAAUCGCUCGUCUGGAUUUGGGUAUAGGGGCGAAGACUAAUCGAACCAUCUAGUAGCUGGUUCCCUCCGUUUCCCUCAGAUAGCUGGAGCCCACGCGGCGAAGUUCUAUCGGUAAAGCCAAUGAUUAGAGGCAUCGGGGGGCUUAACGAACGCCGACCUAUUCUCAAACUUUAAAUAGGUAGGACGGCGGCUGCUUUAUUGAUGCGCCGAAUCGAGAGCCCAAGUGGGCCAUUUUGGUAACCAGAAUCUGGCGAUGCGGAUGAACCGGAAGCCGGGUUACGUGCCCAACUGCACACUAACCCAGCACACCACAAAGGGUGUUGGUCGAUUAAGACAGCAGGACGGUGGUCAUGGAAGUCGAAACCGCUUAGGAGAGUGUAAACAACUCACCGGCCAAUCAACUAGCCCCCCGAAAUGGAUGGCGCUGAAGCGCCAUGCGAAGACACCCGCCAUCGGGCGAAGCCAAGCCCCGGCGAGAGGGAGGGGCUGGCCGCCACAAAACCUGGGGCGAGCCGGCGGAGGCCCGCCGGUGCAAAUCUUGGUGGUAGUAGCAAAUAUUCAAAUGAGAACUUUGAAGGUCAAGAGGGGAAAGGUUCCAUGUGAACGGCACUUGCACAUGGGUUAGCCGAUCCUAAGGGACGGGGAAGCCCGGCCUGAGAGCUGUCGGUUCCGCGAAGUUCAAAGGGAAUCGGUUAAAAUUCCGAGCCGACGCCAAGCCGCGGACGGCAACGUUAGGAAGUCCGGAGACGCCGGCGAGGGCUCCGUGAAGAGUUAACUUUUUCGUUUAACGCCCGCCCACUCGAAACGCUCAGCCGGAGGUAGGGUCCAGCUGCCGGAAGAGCGCCGACGCCGCUGGCGUCCGGCAGCCUCGGCGGCACUUGAAAACCGGAGGACCGAGUGCCGCCGCCCGGCCGCAUUCAUAACCGCAGAUCAGGUCUCCAAGGUGAAUAGCCUCUGGGCCCAUGGAACAAUGUAGGCAAGGGAAGUCGGCAAAACGGAUCCGAACUUCGGAAAAGGAUUGGCUCGAGGGGUGGGGCACGGGGUCCCCGCCCGAACCCUCGCCGGCCGUGGGGCGGAUUGCUCGAGCUGCUCGCGCGGUGAGAGCUGGUCGCCGCGUCGGGUCGGGGGGACGGACCGGAAUGGCCCCGGGGCCUUCCCCGGCGCCGAACAAAACCGUAACUGGUAAUGACAAGGGGAACUGGACCGUUUAAUUAAAACAAAGCAUUGGCGAUGGUCCUCGCGAUGCUCAUGCAAUGUGAUUUCUGCCCAGUGCUUUGAAUGUCAAAGUGAAGAAAUUCAACCAAGCGCAGGUAAAACGGCGGAGUAACUAUGACUUUCUUAUAGCCAAAUGCCUCGCCAUCUAAUUAGUGACGCGCAUGAAUGGAUUAACGAGAUUCCCACUGUCCCUGCUACUACUAUCCAAAUAAACCACAACCAAGGGAACGGGCUUGGCAGAAUCAGCGGGGAAAGAAGACCCUGUUGAGCUUGACUCUAGUCCGACUUUGUGAAAUGACUUGAGAGGUGUAGGAUAAGUGGGGAGCCGGUUCGGGCGGAAGUGAAAUACCACUACUUUUAACGUUAUUUUACUUAUUCCGCGAGUCGGAGGAGGGGCCCAGCCCCUCCUUUUGACCCAAGGUCCGCCUGAAGGGCCGAUCCCAAGCGGAAGACAUUGUCGUGGGGAGUUUGGCUGGGGGGGCACAUUUGUUAAAAGAUAACGAGGUGUCCUAAGAUGAGCUCAACGAGAACAGAAAUCUCGUGUGGGAACAAAAGGGUAAAGCUCGCUUGAUUCUGAUUUCUAGUAAUGGAAUAAUGAACCCGGAAAGCGGCCUAUCGAUCCUUUAGACCUUCAGAAUUCGAAGCCAGAGGGUCGGAAAAGUUACCACAGGGAUAACUGGCUUGUGGCAGCCAAGCCGCUCAUAGUGACGUGUGGUUUUUUGAUCCUUUGAUGUCGGCUCUUCCUAUCAUUGUGAAGCAUAAUUCACCAAGUGUUGGAUUGUUCACCCACCAAUAGGGAACGGAGCUGGGUUUAGACCGCCGGAGACAAGGUUAGUUUUACCCCACCGAUGAUCGGUCGCCGAUAGUAAUUCAACCUAGUACGAGAGGAACCGUUGAUUCACACAAUUGGUCAUCACGCUUUGGUUGAAAAGCCAAUGGAGCGGUUACCGCGGUGUCGGAUUAUGACGAACGCCUCUAAGUCAGAAUCCUAGCUAGCAACCGGGUGUUUCACUGCCGUUCGGCCUCCCGACCCCAAGAGGGGCCUUUGGCCCCCAUGGGCUCGUGGUCGCCGGUGUAGCCUCAUGGUGGUAUAGCCACGGGCGCCAUCGGGAAGUGAAAUUCGCACGGACGACGGGUCAAUCCUUUGCAGAUGACUUAAAUACGCGAUGGGGCAUUGUGGUGGUAGAGUGGCCUUGCUGCCACGAUCCACUGAGAUCCAGCCCUGCGCCGCACGGAUUCGC